This 429-nucleotide ribosomal RNA is filed under the name Metschnikowia similis. RNAcentral's name for it is "LSU rRNA". It matches the Rfam family "Eukaryotic large subunit ribosomal RNA", at positions 22 to 472 of the family's 3401-position model. The record is from RNAcentral. Lineage: Eukaryota; Fungi; Ascomycota; Pichiomycetes; Serinales; Metschnikowiaceae.
UACCCGCUGAACUUAAGCAUAUCAAUAAGCGGAGGAAAAGAAACCAACAGGGAUUACCUUAGUAACGGCGAGUGAAGCGGUAAAAGCUCAAAUUUGAAAUCUUCGGAAUUGUAAUUUGUCGGGUAGAAUUUGUUUUUUAAAGAAAGUUCACUGGAAUGUGACGCCACAGAGGGUGAUAGCCCCGUUAACUAAAGAAAACUAUUUAAUUCUAUUCCAAAGAGUCGGGUUGUUUGGGAAUGCAGCUCAAAGUGGGUGGUAAAUUCCAUCUAAAGCUAAAUAUUGGCGAGAGACCGAUAGCGAACAAGUACAGUGAUGGAAAGAUGAAAAGAACUUUGAAAAGAGAGUGAAAUAGUACGUGAAAUUGUUGAAAGGGAAGGGAAAGGGGGAGAUAAUUCAAGUUAAUAUUUUGGUAUGUUACUUGACCACAUC